GGGUUGUGAGGUUAAGCGACCAAGCGUACACGGUGGAUGCCCUGGCAGUCAGAGGCGAUGAAGGACGUGCUAAUCUGCGAUAAGCGCCGGUAAGGUGAUAUGAACCGUUAUAACCGGCGAUUUCCGAAUGGGGAAACCCAGUGUGAUUCGUCACACUAUCAUUAACUGAAUCCAUAGGUUAAUGAAGCGAACCGGGGGAACUGAAACAUCUAAGUACCCCGAGGAAAAGAAAUCAACCGAGAUUCCCCCAGUAGCGGCGAGCGAACGGGGAGGAGCCCAGAGCCUGAAUCAGCAUGUGUGUUAGUGGAAGCGUCUGGAAAGGCGCGCGAUACAGGGUGACAGCCCCGUACACAAAAGCGCAUGUGCUGUGAGCUCGAUGAGUAGGGCGGGACACGUGGUAUCCUGUCUGAAUAUGGGGGGACCAUCCUCCAAGGCUAAAUACUCCUGACUGACCGAUAGUGAACCAGUACCGUGAGGGAAAGGCGAAAAGAACCCCGGCGAGGGGAGUGAAACAGAACCUGAAACCGUGUACGUACAAGCAGUGGGAGCACAGGUUUACCUGUGUGACUGCGUACCUUUUGUAUAAUGGGUCAGCGACUUAUAUUCUGUAGCAAGGUUAACCGCAUAGGGGAGCCGAAGGGAAACCGAGUCUUAACCGGGCGUUAAGUUGCAGGGUAUAGACCCGAAACCCGGUGAUCUAGCCAUGGGCAGGUUGAAGGUUGGGUAACACUAACUGGAGGACCGAACCGACUAAUGUUGAAAAAUUAGCGGAUGACCUGUGGCUGGGGGUGAAAGGCCAAUCAAACCGGGAGAUAGCUGGUUCUCCCCGAAAGCUAUUUAGGUAGCGCCUCGUGAAUUCAUCUCCGGGGGUAGAGCACUGUUUCGGCUAGGGGGCCAUCCCGGCUUACCAACCCGAUGCAAACUGCGAAUACCGGAGAAUGUUAUCACGGGAGACACACGGCGGGUGCUAACGUCCGUCGUGAAGAGGGAAACAACCCAGACCGCCAGCUAAGGUCCCAAAGUCAUGGUUAAGUGGGAAACGAUGUGGGAAGGCCCAGACAGCCAGGA
This 1068-nucleotide ribosomal RNA is filed under the name Campylobacter coli. RNAcentral's name for it is "partial 23S ribosomal RNA". It matches the Rfam family "Bacterial large subunit ribosomal RNA", at positions 1 to 1098 of the family's 2925-position model. Lineage: Bacteria; Pseudomonadati; Campylobacterota; Epsilonproteobacteria; Campylobacterales; Campylobacteraceae. The record is from RNAcentral.